Molecule: ribosomal RNA, 506 nt
Filed under: uncultured bacterium
Lineage: Bacteria
Description: partial 16S ribosomal RNA
Rfam family: Bacterial small subunit ribosomal RNA
Source: RNAcentral
GAUGAACGCUAGCGGCAGGCCUAACACAUGCAAGUCGAGGGGCAGCACAGGAAAGUAGUAAUACUUUUGGGUGGCGACCGGCGGACGGGUGCGUAACGCGUAUACAACCUGCCUUCUACUGGGGGAUAAUUCGGAGAAAUCUGGUCUAAUACCCCAUAACAACCGACGAGGCAUCUCAUUGGUUUAAAAGCUCCGGCGGUAGAAGAUGGGUAUGCGUGACAUUAGAUAGUUGGUGGGGUAACGGCUCACCAAGUCGACGAUGUCUAGGGGGACUGAGAGGUUAACCCCCCACACUGGUACUGAGACACGGACCAGACUCCUACGGGAGGCAGCAGUGAGGAAUAUUGGUCAAUGGACGCAAGUCUGAACCAGCCAUGCCGCGUGCAGGAAGACGGCUCUAUGAGUUGUAAACUGCUUUUGUACGAGGGUAAAGUGAGGCACGUGUGCCUUUUUGAAAGUAUCGUACGAAUAAGGAUCGGCUAACUCCGUGCCAGCAGCCGCAGUAA